Molecule: small RNA, 28 nt
Filed under: Bombyx mori (domestic silkworm)
Lineage: Eukaryota; Metazoa; Arthropoda; Insecta; Lepidoptera; Bombycidae
Description: ovarian small RNA-19188
Source: RNAcentral
UAAGAUAUCAAAAUCUGUUACCUGUGAC